Molecule: ribosomal RNA, 646 nt
Filed under: uncultured marine eukaryote
Lineage: Eukaryota
Description: SSU rRNA
Rfam family: Eukaryotic small subunit ribosomal RNA
Source: RNAcentral
UUAAAAAGCUCGUAGUUGGAUCUCGGCAAGUAGAGGGCGGUAUGCUUCGUAGCAUUACUGCCCUAUUACUUGUAGUUUUGCCAGAGGUUCCUGGGUGCUCUUAAUCGAGUGUCUAGGGAUGCUGGCAGGUUUACUUUGAAAAAAUUAGAGUGCUCAAAGCAGGCUAUUACGCUUGAAUAUUCGUGCAUGGAAUAAUAGAAUAGGAAGUUGUUUCUAUUUUGUUGGUUUUCGGAAAUCGACUUAAUGAUUAAUAGGGACAGUCGGGGGCAUUUGUAUUCAAACGACAGAGGUGAAAUUCUUGGACCGUUUGAAGACAAACUACUACGAAAGCAUUUGCCAAGAAUGUUUUCAUUAAUCAAGAACGAAAGUUAGAGGUUCGAAGGCGAUUAGAUACCGCCCUAGUUCUAACCAUAAACGAUGCCAGCUAGCGAUCUGAGGACGUUUUUUUUGUAGACUCCUCAGGAAGCUUCCGGGAAACCAAAGCGUGUGGGUUCCGGGGGAAGUAUGGUUGCAAAGCUGAAACUUAAAGGAAUUGACGGAAGGGCACCACCAGGAGUGGAGCCUGCGGCUUAAUUUGACUCAACACGGGAAAUCUCACCAGGCCCGGACACUGGAAGGAUUGACAGAUUGAGAGCUCUUUCUCGAU